UACGUAGGGAGCAAGCGUUGUUCGGAUUUACUGGGCGUAAAGGGCGCGUAGGCGGCGCGGUAAGUCACUUGUGAAAUCUCUGAGCUUAACUCAGAACGGCCAAGUGAUACUGCAGUGCUAGAGUGCAGAAAGGGCAAUCGGAAUUCUUGGUGUAGCGGUGAAAUGCGUAGAUAUCAAGAGGAACACCUGAGGCGAAGGCGGGUUGCUAGGCUGACACUGACGUUGAGGCGCGAAAGCCAGGGGAGCAAACGGG
RNAcentral lists this ribosomal RNA (253 nucleotides) under uncultured bacterium. RNAcentral's name for it is "partial 16S ribosomal RNA". It matches the Rfam family "Bacterial small subunit ribosomal RNA", at positions 524 to 776 of the family's 1533-position model. The record is from RNAcentral.